AGGUAGGAGAGCUGCAAAGCAAGCAUGUGGUUUCCACUUUUCACUCUCCCCUCAGCAGCAGUCCGAUGAGUCCUUGCAGAGACACAUGAGUUGUAUGUCUGCUUGAGCGUGUGUGUGCACAUAUGCAGAAGGCGACCGUGCCUCACCGCUAACGCCAUGGAGCUUGAGGCGGGACAGUUUUAAUGUGGAAAAGAGCUGAGCAGACAAAAGAAUAGGCCUGUCACCUGACUAAUGCCCACCAGUGGAAGAUGUAAUCCGGAGUAAAUACAGUUGGCUCCACGGAGGAGCCCUCUGUGAUUUCAGCAGACCGAGGUGUCAAACUGAAUCACCGGUCGUACGCGGCUGAAGAGUACAGAUUAUCCGCCGCUCUCUGAUGAGCCAGUCAGGAGUCUUGCACUUGGUGCGUCUCUGGCUGCGCUGUGGAAAACUGGCUGUAGAUAGAAUUUUUUCGGGGAGCAUCCACUCUUUUUGGCAUUUCCUGAUUUGAUCAAAACGUCCAGACUGCGGAAUGUGAAAGUUUCACACGAGGGCCAAACCAUUAGCAUCAAUCCUCUGCAUCAAUUGAAGCGUCACAGUCUCUGCGACGAUUCGGCUGUUAUAACGCUUUGCAGCUCUUCGAGCUUCUAAUCAGAGACGUGCUGUUAAUGAACCGUCUCCUGUCAAGAGUCUUCCAUUGUCACAAACGAUCCUCAUCUUGCUGCGCUUAUUGUAUCUCUCCACGUCCGAAUCUUCUCUUUCUCUCUUUCGUGUUACAUGCUAAAUACCUCCACCCUGUCGUUCUCAGACCACCUGGUCCCCUGUCGGCACAUUUGUUUGGCUGUCUUCCUGGUUUAUGUCUGCCUUGCACGUCUACAUUUCUGUUGUCUUUGGCUUGAGUGUGAGAGGAAGAGAGACAAAAUGGGAUUAAAAUGAGUGUGGAUGUGUGUGUGUGUGUGUGUGUGUGUGUUUGCCUUAGGCGCCCUCACUAGAAAUUCCACCUGCUCGGGUGAUACUUUUACACUUGGGAGAUUUGACAAAGUCACCUGUCUACUUCUUUCGGUGUCAUCUGUCUGCCUCCCUUUCACCUUUUUACAUCUAUAUCCCGUGAACGUCUUCUUUCUAUCACUCACUGUCCGUCCUUCCCCCUGUCCGUCCAUCUUGUCUUCCUUAGUCUGUGACUUUUCCUUUUUUUAAUCUUUCUUGAUCCGCGCCUGACCCCCCCUACACACACACACACACACACACACACACACACACACACACACACAAACACACCUCCAUUAUUAUUCCCGAGAGGAGUCGACUGGUCUGGCACUCUGGCUGGUUUAUGUCCAUGGACUCGGUGACACGCUGCCUCUGCGUUAC
Long non-coding RNA from Gasterosteus aculeatus aculeatus (three-spined stickleback), 1344 nucleotides. The record is from Ensembl. Lineage: Eukaryota; Metazoa; Chordata; Actinopteri; Perciformes; Gasterosteidae.